UACGGAGGGUGCAAGCGUUGUUCGGAAUCAUUGGGCGUAAAGCGCGUGUAGGCGGUCGUUUAAGUUCACUGUGAAAGCUCGGGGCUCAACUCCGGAACGGCAGUGAAAACUGGAUGACUUGAGGGUUGGAGAGGAAAGCGGAAUUCCUGGUGGAGCGGUGAAAUGCGUAGAUAUCAGGAAGAACACCAGUGGCGAAGGCGGCUUUCUGGACAACUUCUGACGCUGAGACGCGAAAGCGUGGGUAGCAAACAGG
Molecule: ribosomal RNA, 253 nt
Filed under: uncultured bacterium
Lineage: Bacteria
Description: partial 16S ribosomal RNA
Rfam family: Bacterial small subunit ribosomal RNA
Source: RNAcentral